GACACAUUGAACAUCGACAUUUCGAACGCACAUUGCGGAAUCGGGUUCUUCCCGGUUCCAGGUUCUCUUGACGGCGUCUUU
Molecule: ribosomal RNA, 81 nt
Filed under: Trichodorus variopapillatus
Lineage: Eukaryota; Metazoa; Nematoda; Enoplea; Triplonchida; Trichodoridae
Description: partial 5.8S ribosomal RNA
Source: RNAcentral